GGGGCAUUAGCGCAGCUGGGAGCGCGUUUGACUGGCAGUCAAGAGGUCACGAGUUCGAGCCUCGUAUGCUCCA
This 73-nucleotide transfer RNA is filed under the name Eubacterium pyruvativorans. It matches the Rfam family "tRNA". Rfam says of the family: Transfer RNA (tRNA) molecules are approximately 80 nucleotides in length. Their secondary structure includes four short double-helical elements and three loops (D, anti-codon, and T loops). Further hydrogen bonds mediate the characteristic L-shaped molecular structure. tRNAs have two regions of fundamental functional importance: the anti-codon, which is responsible for specific mRNA codon recognition, and the 3' end, to which the tRNAs corresponding amino acid is attached (by aminoacyl-tRNA synthetases). tRNAs cope with the degeneracy of the genetic code in two manners: having more than one tRNA (with a specific anti-codon) for a particular amino acid; and 'wobble' base-pairing, i.e. permitting non-standard base-pairing at the 3rd anti-codon position. The record is from Rfam by way of RNAcentral. Lineage: Bacteria; Bacillati; Bacillota; Clostridia; Eubacteriales; Eubacteriaceae.